GGAAGGGUGCUUGAGUGGCCGAAAAGAGCCGCCUGCUAAGCGGUUGAGGGUUAACGCCCUCCGAGGGUUCGAAUCCCUCCCCUUCCGCCA
RNAcentral lists this transfer RNA (90 nucleotides) under Bacillota bacterium. Its description in RNAcentral is "Firmicutes bacterium (anaerobic digester metagenome) tRNA-Ser". It matches the Rfam family "tRNA". Rfam says of the family: Transfer RNA (tRNA) molecules are approximately 80 nucleotides in length. Their secondary structure includes four short double-helical elements and three loops (D, anti-codon, and T loops). Lineage: Bacteria; Bacillati; Bacillota. The record is from RNAcentral.